This is a long non-coding RNA of Drosophila novamexicana, 649 nucleotides long. RefSeq lists it as uncharacterized. Lineage: Eukaryota; Metazoa; Arthropoda; Insecta; Diptera; Drosophilidae. The transcript has 3 exons. The record is from RefSeq and is a predicted model, not a curated record.
UUAAAAUAUACCUAGAGUUUACAAAUGUUUGUUUGGUUUAAAAAGAACUGCGAUCCAAGAAGCAAAAGACACCUAACAAAUUGCGUAGCGAAUUGAUUUGGUCCAGUAAUUAUUGAAGCCAAUUAGUCUGCUGUUAGUUAGGCUUUGUACUUGUGAAAAUACAGAGUUUACUUUCAGUUCAUCCACACGUAUAUUUUAUUCGAGUUGAAGACGAAGCAGUACGAUGAUAUUUUUGAAGGCCCAUGUAUUUCUGUUCAUAGGUGUUCUAUUGGUAGUUCUUACAUUCCACGAAGCCAACUCAUAUAGAAGGUGCUCCAUAAACGAGGAAGAGCGAUGCAAAUGCUUUGAGAGCUCCUGCUUUCAGCUUUUAUAUGAUGGGGAAAAUUGUACGGCCUGCAAAAAAGAAUGCCAGUGUAAAAUUGGUUUUGUACGCAACAGGGGUAUGUGUAUGAAAAAGGAAAAAUGCUGCUCGGGUUCUGUUUGCGUAUCGAAAAAGGAGCAAAUUAUAAGAACCAUACGUCAAAAGAUGGAAAAGCCGACCGCCAGGUCGAGUCAAUUCAAAUAAAAUCGAUUAUGUUCGCAAGAAUAAUGUUUAAUAAUGUUUAAAAAUACAAGUGAAUUAGCAGAACUUGCCCCCAAAACUUUAAAA